UCUUUGUGGGGGAAAAAUGUUGGUGGUGGUGGUGGAAAAUUUGGAACACCCACUCCUGAGGAAGAAAUGACAGUUUGAGGACAUGCCAAUGUACAGUGAACAUGUGCAGUAUGUGACCAGCCAUCCAAACUCAGAAGCAUUUACCACACAAACACUGUUUAGCUUCAUAACAAGCAGUGGAGACACUGCCAAACCGUUUUCACAGACGAGACCUGAUUCUCAUCCCAGCAAUCAAAAGUCAAACAAAACUGCUCACAAUUUUGUGAACCACCAUCCACCACCAACUGUUACUAGUAGAAAAGAAAAAGCCAAGGAAAUGAAGGUUGCCAUUAGAAAACUUCACAACAAAGAAGCAGCUAAAAAGUCUCACCUUGCCAAGAAAAAGAGAAAGGAGACUCUUUUGAAGAAGUCCAUGGAACUGUACGAGGAGAAACUUCAAUUGGAACAAGAUAUCCGUACUCUGAACAACUGCCUGCGUCUCUACCACCAGAUGUACUCUUGCAUGACACAUGUUUGCUGCCUUCCAGAUGAAGAUGCCUAAAAUGGGUGUCAAUAUGGGCAUGCUUUUGCUGUCUUCUAUCUCAUUUUAGUUUCAGUUUUUUCCUGUUUAGUUUUUGCUGGCUGCAAAAUGUGGCUUUGCAAAAAGUCUGAGAGUAGAUGGCACUUGAUGAAAAAUGAAAUUUUUGUUUUUCUUGAUGAGACCUAACUGUAAAAAUAAUGUUUCAAAGAGAUUUUCUGUUCUGAUUUCUUGGAACAAAUUUUGUUUAGAGUGAGGUUGGGGGUACUCAGUUAUUUUAAAAUUCUACUAAGCCAAAGAGAAUCGAUUUAGAUAACCUUGUGUUUAUAGAAAAAAAAAACUACAUGGAAUGCUUUGUCUGGAUUCAUGACAUUUCAUUUUUAGUAUCAAAACUGUAUACAUAAGUAGUUUCAGCUUGUUCAAAAAUACAGAUUGGUGAUAGGUCAGAGUCAUAUGAAAGCAGACAUUACCUGCAGUACUAAAGGUGCUUCAUAAUGCUGGCAAAUGCACUUUUUUAGACAGAGAUGUCAUUAAGUGUGUCAGCAAGUUGACAGUGCCUUGUAGUGCUGAUGUAGCGUCUUGCUGUUUAUAGCAGUAAGUUAUAUACUUUAUCAAAACAGCUAAUUUAUCAACCAAAGAAGUCAAGAUAUCUAGCUUGUCAAAGACUUGACGGCAGUCUCUCAGUAGCAAAACACAAGUUCAGAAUAACUGUAUAGUGAGAAAAAAACCUGUUCUUCUUGCAGAAUUAUAGGAAUGAGAUUACAGAGCAACAGCAUUUUAUUAUUUAAUCUUUUUUACCACAAAAUGUCCUAGGUGGAUUUUAUUUGGGAUCCCUUCCCCCAUUCACUCUAAAGAAAUGCCAAGAAAGAUGACCUGAUGGUGUUUUUGAGAUGUAUUUGAGUGACAUAUAUAAAGUGUUUUUUUUCACACUUGAAUUAAUUUCCUAUUGCAUGUGCAUUGCUUAUUUGAAAGAUUUUUAUUUGUAAUGAACUUGUCAAACUGGCUACUUCUUUCAAAGUAAAUCAUAAGAAUGUGAUUCUCUGUUUUUAUAGUCAAAGUUUGUCAGUUUCACCUGAUACUCCUUGCAGCAGUAAGAAAUAUUCUUGCUUAAAAUGUGAUUCUUCUGAGAAAAGCAUGAAGAAAUUCUUUAUGGUAAAUAUACUGUUAUGAAAAGAAGAGCAAGGGUUAAUGUUGAAAAAUUGCAAACCGGAAAAGUAUUGAGAGCAGAGAAACUUUCUGAGAAAGUAUCAUAGGGAAAUCCAGAUACAGGCAGUGCAUUUCUCAUUGCCAGACUGAGUGGUUAAAACAAGUAAAAUUUGUGAAAAGUAGUCAUAUAAUGCAGAAAGUUUUUUGUUUGUGUAGACACCAGUUCCUACAGAAACUUGGUAAAUCAGUUUGGCCUUCCUAAGAAAGCUGAUGCAUUCUAAUCCAUUCAGAUGAAAAAGCUUAUAUUGGGUUCCUGCUUUCAAUUCUUCCAUUUACUUGUGCAUUGGACAUACUGGUUGUAUCCUUAUCCCCGAGAGGGGCAUCGGGGUUCAACCUGUCCAUAAAUAUGCACGAUAAGCCAUUAUAUAUUGCCACAGAAAAAAAAAGAGAAAUUGAAAAUGCUUUAGUAAUUUGAAAUACAUGUUCUAAAAUUUAAAUAAUCUGUGCAAAAUUUAAUUCUUAAACACAUGUUGGUUGCGUCUCAUUUUUCCCCACAUUGAUGACUUCCUAUUUGCUUCAACUUCAUUGCAAAGUGAUGUUAUUCGAACUGCUUUUCAUAAUGAGUGUUGUUAUUAAAAAGGAUUUUUUAAAUAUUAGCUGAAUGUGUUGGGUAUAAAAUUACUGGGAUGCUUGAAAUGUCUAUAACGGGAUUACUGUUGAACAUAUAAGGAUACAUUAAGAGAAUCAUUUAAUUUGCUUGUUCAUCAAAGUGCAAUUGCAACAUUUUUCACCAGUAUCCAGGCUUGUUUAUGUUGAAACAUAUUUCCUACGUUGCAGAAUGUUGGCAGUUUUCAUAAUUAGUAAUAUUUUUUUAAAUUAAUGUUCCUGCAGAAAAUGCUAAAAACUGGAGGAUAUAAUUUAUGGAAAAAAACAAAGACACUAACAAUGACAGUUGAUUGUAAAUAGUCCUUCGAUCAUUACUUCAUUUGUUUUUCAUUUUGAUAAAAUUGUUUUUCUUUCAUAGGUAAUAAAUUCAUUACAGCUUGGAUACAGUUUUUGUCAAAAAUGCACUGUAUUGUACUGGCAGAUUUCUCUGCUUGGUAGUGAACUCUAUACACUUAAACAAAAGAGCAGUGCAAAAAACCGAUGCAAACAUGUUUUCAAUGUGCAAUAUAUUAGCAUAUAUUCAGCAAACUGUACAGAUCUGUGACAUAAAUCCAAAGUGGGCAAUGACACUGAAGGCCAGACAAGAAAAACAUUCAAAGGCUAUGAAAGUUGGCCUAGAAAAAACGCCAAAAGUUGCUGUGUAUGCACAUACAUAGGGCAAAGCAACAUAUACAAAUUCAUGGCAUGUAAAUAUAGAGUACACAAAAUAUAUACAUAGAGUAAAGCAGCUUGAUAACACAUGCAAGCAAUAUAUACAGGAUGAAAUACACAUGCAGAAAAGCAAAUGAAACUAGUUGAUAUAGUGAUUAGCGAGUUAUCAUGUGUUACGCUUCGCAGAAAAGAUCCAGUGCUUUCAUGUUUUAGGUUUUCUGGCUGAGGGUCACUUCUGUCAUCCAUGAUUGAUCUCUGUGUUUUUGCCAAAUACAACUUGUUUGGAA
This 3267-nucleotide unclassified non-coding RNA is filed under the name Pomacea canaliculata. RNAcentral's name for it is "uncharacterized LOC112556736, transcript variant X6". Lineage: Eukaryota; Metazoa; Mollusca; Gastropoda; Architaenioglossa; Ampullariidae. The record is from RNAcentral.